Long non-coding RNA from Esox lucius (northern pike), 502 nucleotides. RefSeq lists it as uncharacterized. The transcript has 4 exons. The record is from RefSeq and is a predicted model, not a curated record. NCBI's taxonomy places the organism in Eukaryota, Metazoa, Chordata, Actinopteri, Esociformes, Esocidae.
CCUGGUCUUCUCAAGCGAAAUAUAUUAAGUUGAAUGAUUAACUACAGUGCCUACUACUAUGUUAGAUUUGUGCGGUUUGUAAUUUUAUUAGACUUUUUAUCAUUUUCUAAUUGCCAGGAUUUACACCAUUUUCAUAGCGUGCCGUCGGGGACCUACACAGUACUGCUGGCAAGGAUGAAAAGCAUAGGCCACAUGAAAGUGAAUGUGAAUAUAGUAGAACAGUCGACACAACACUGAUGUGCUGGGAUUUGUGGUAAAUCAGAUUAGUCUAAAAUGUAUUGAAGAAUGGAGCGGGACUGAAUUUGAAGAUGCAGAUGCAGCUGCAGGUCGAUACUGGACACAAAGGGAGAAACAUUGUUUGUUGGACAACCUGGACAAAGCAGCAAAGAGAAUCAGCGGACACGGCGCAGCGAGCGACAGCGGUUACAAGCGGAUAUACCCAUAGGGACUCUGAUCGGCACAGCAUAGCAUUUUCUGUUCAAUGAACUGAGUGAACACAAUC